GGCUGCAACUCGCCUGCAUGAAGUCGGAAUUGCUAGUAAUCGCAGAUCAGCAUGCUGUGGUGAAUACGUUCCCGGGCCUUGUACACACCGCCCGUCACACCAUGGGAGUCGGUAACACCCAAAGUUGGUAGUCUAACCGCAAGGAGGACGCCGCCUAAGGUGGGAUUGAUGACUGGGGUGAAGUCGUAACAAGGUACC
Molecule: ribosomal RNA, 198 nt
Filed under: uncultured bacterium
Lineage: Bacteria
Description: partial 16S ribosomal RNA
Rfam family: Bacterial small subunit ribosomal RNA
Source: RNAcentral